GAGACAAGGAGUCACUCUGUCACCCAGGCUGGAGUACAGUAGAAUGAUCAUAGCUCACUUGAAUUCCUGAACUCAAGUGAUCCUCCUGCUGCAGCCUUCCAAGUAUCUAGGACUACAGGCUAUGGGAAUAUAAAGAUAAAUAUCACACAUAUGAAUCCUCUUCUCGUGGAGCCUGAAACCCAGAAGAAGAGACAAGCAAGGAAAAAGAAAAUCACUUCGAUGAAGUAAUUGUAAUUGUUUUAAAAACCAAGAAGGAAACAAACAAGUUCUAAAAUAAAUGAUAACAGCACCUAGGGCCAACAGCCAAGUCAGGAAGGCUGGCUGGGCUCUCCUGGAGGCCACCAAAAUGAGUGUGUCACUGUGCAGAGAUUGAAGAGGACAGUUAGAUCCUCCUGCAGCAGAACUGUGAUUCUAGCAACUCAGAAGGUCUCCAGCUGAGGGCAACUGGGGACACUCCAUGACACUGACCUGGAUCAACCAUCGUAGGUCUGAAAGGAAAACAGUAAGACGGAAUUGAAAAGCAAGUCCUAGUUAACCCCAGGACCAGCCUAGCAGAAGCAGAAGAGAGAAAACUGAGAGCUACUGAAUGUUCACUUCAUCAAUUAAAAGUACAGUUUAUUUGAUAAUUGCAUACUUUGUUAUUAAAUUAUAGAACUUAAAGUGGCUUAGUAUUUAUUUCAAAAUUCAGGUUGUCAUUUUGUGGUACGUUACUAUGUGAGGUUGCCUAGUCCAUUGACUACGUUAGCCUAUUUCUACAACUUUGGAUUCCUAAAAUAUUCUGCAAGAGAAGACAGUUGAAAACAAAAAGUAUCAUUAAUAAGUUAAAUUAAUGUAAAACAAAAUUUGUUCCCAGCAACUUCAACACCAGACCAUUAUCCCUUUACUUUAUCAAAUUCAUUGGCUGUACAAGCUUGACUUACUUACACUGGAUGAAUAAAUGGGGGAUCUUUUCAUAGGAUUCUUUAAAAUAAUAUCACACUUUCCUUCUUCCACUUAUGUCUUUCAAGAGGUCCAAAGGGUACAAAUGAGUCAAUCAUUUUUACUCCGAAUUAGACAACUCAUAAUUUUCUGAAUACAUGCUGAUGAGAGCAAUGUUAACAAAUUAGAAGCUGAUAAGCUGGGUAAACUACAUUUAUUUCAAAAUUUCCCCUUUUCCUCUUUAAAAAGUUUAAAGCAAUUAGAGAUUUUAAUUUCAUUUUUAAAUCUCCAUCUCUAGGCUGGGAGCAGUGGCUCACACUUGUAAUCCCAGCACUUUGGGAGGCCAAGGCAGGCAGAUCAUCCAAGGUCGGGAGUUCAAGACCAACCUGGCCAACAUGGUGAAUCCCUGUCUCUACUGAAAAUACAAAAAUUAGUCAGGCAUGAUGUUGGGUGGGGGGUGGUGCCUGUUGUCCCAGUUAUUUGGGAGGCUGAGGCAAGAGAAUUGCUUGAACUCAGAAAGUGGAGGUUGUAGUGAGCUGAGAUCGCGCCACUGCACUCCAGCCUGGGCGACAGAGCAGGACUCCGUCUCAAAAAAAAAAAAAAAAAAAAAAAAAAAACUCCAUCUCUAAACUAAAAGAUACCGAAACCUUUGUACUCUAGUUUAUUGCAAAGAGUAACCCUGAGAUUUUAGUGUGAUAGAUGUCAAAGAAGUUUUGGAAAGCAUGAUUAGCAUCUCACUGCUGAAAUCAUGGGAAAUCAAGUAGAAGCCUGUUAGAGACAAAACAGCAAUUAUUGAAUAAGCAAGAAAGUAAAGUUAGUACUGUAUACAUCUUUAAAAGUCAAGAAGGACCAACAGUAAUGUUAACGGGGCCAGGCAGAAAGUUUCCUCUCUUUCCCCUUCUUUAACCAUUGGUAUAGUUCUCUGAUGCCAUGAAAGGGCCAUGAUUAUAGGGUGAGCUUGGGAGAGGGGAAAUAGUAAAGAAUGUAGUGAGGGAUUUACAUUCUGUUAAUUAGAACUGUCAACAUUGCCUCUGUGGCCUUGAGAAAGAAGUUUCCUCUGUCUUCUGGCAUCACUGCAGAGUUUAUAAACUAAACCCAAAAAGGUUUUGAAGUCCAUGGUUUUGUAAGUGUUGUCCUGUUUCCAAUUCCUAUUUGAAUAAGGACUGCUCUCAUACUAAGGAAAAAUAUUUGUCAUAUGUGGGAGGCAAUUUGUCAUAUAGCUAAAAUCUUAUCAAAUUAGAAUCAUAAAAUAAAUUAUUAAACCAAUAGCUUAUAAAUAAAGAAUGUAAAGGGCAAAAAGAGACAGAAGAAAGAAAUAUAAAAUACAAAAAGUUCCCCAAACCCAAAACCUUAAACCAAAUUACUUUUUCUGUCAUAUGCCUGUAGAAAUGUAAGAUUUCUCCAAAUCAAGAUUACCAGAUAUUUUCGGGGGUGUCCAAUCUUUUGGCUUGCCUGGGCCCCAUUGGAAGAAGAAGCAUUAUCUUGGGCCAUGCAUAAAAUACACUAACACUAAUGAUAGCUGAUGAGCUAAAAACAAACAAAAAUCACAAAAAAAUCCCAUAGUGUUUUAAGAAAGUAUACGAAUUUGUGUCGGGCCACAUUCAAAGCCGUCCUGGUCCGCAUGCAUCCUGUGGGCCGCAGGUUGGACAAACUUGGAUUAGAGCAUCCCAAUCAUAUUGGAAUAGCAAUGUUUCCUACCUUGACAAAAUGUAAGACUGCCUUACUACUGGGGAGCCAAGCCAAAGGACUUAUAAGCUAAUACUUGAUUGGGUAUUGGAGGCUAUAUAGAAUUACCUCACCUUAGAAAACUCCACCAAAAUGCUGUCAGAUAAAUUCUGUAUGUUUCAGGGACUUGCUGGUUCCUAGUUUAAAGAGAAUUUCCAUUAUUAUCAUCAUCAUUAUUAUCAGUAGGCAUGUAUUUUAUUUAAAAAGUUCAUUUUAAUCUAUAUAUUCUAAUAUAAUUUAUGUUCAGCUCUAAUUAUUGCUAUACUUGAAAAUAUUAAAUAUAUAUAAUCUAUAGUAUCACAUUACUUAAACAACCAUUUGUAUUUCCAUACUGUAGUCAGUGUCUUGAGUUCCUUCUUUAAUUAAUAUUAGUGAUGUUUUAAAGCACAUAAUCCUUUGUCGAAUAUUAUUUGAAUAAUAGUACUCUAAGGGGAUAAAGAUAUAUUAAAUUCCUAUUGGAUUCAAAGCUGUAAUAUACCUUGUGGGCCUCUUUAGGAUAAUUAAUAAGUAAUUAUUUGACUUAAUUUACUAAAAUGUGAAUUUAAUAUAUAUAUGUCUAUUAUUAACAAGCACAAAUAAACUUGAAUAUAUUUUGCUUAAAAAUGGAUAAACUACAGUUAUUUUAGUGUUUCAUUUCUUAAAUGUCUAUGGCGUUAAAGUGUUACUCUGUGAAGUUUUUAAUCUAUGGUAAACAGUGAGUAAAUAUUGCGGCAUUGCAUAUACAGAAAAAAUUCAAAUGCAUUAAACAUGCUGGUAUGCUAUGAACCUAUUUAAGGUCUUAGAAAAGUGAAAACUUAUUUUUGUGCUGCUCAAUAGUACAUUAACAAAUUAACAUCUAGAGAAGUAUAGCAUCAAAGAGAUAAAGGACCCAAGCUAGAAAUAAGCUUUACCCAACAAACAGAAAGAAGUUUGAUCAACUGCUUUGAGGAAUAAAGCAGCUUAAUGAGCUUAUGAAGCUCAUUAAGUCAACAAGGUCAGAGCCCAAAUAAAUGACAUGAGAAAUAGGAAAUUUAAGAAAAAAAUAUUAAGAGUGAAAAGACCAUAACUGAACUCAUAAAAAAGUUAGUAACACCAAAGGACAGAGGGUUAGUAACAUAGGAACAAGGUUUGAGAUAACUAUGGGGGAUCACAAUUAUUUUUUUGAAAAGAAGAAAAAGUGAGAUAGAGAUGUAUUAAGAAAUAAAGAUGAUUAAUCUUCUUGAGGAAUAAACCUCAACAACUAAAAAUAACAAAAAAUCACUAACACAACAAUAAAACUAAGAUUUACCAGAAAAAAAGAAGAUACUAUUUGUGUUCUAGAGCACUUUGAGUUUUAGGUAACAUGCAGGUGCCCUGUAAAUCUUCAAAAAUAUGGAAAGAAUACUUCAGAUAAUGGAGCAGAGGGCAAGUCACUUACAAAGUUGGAGGUUUUAGAUUGGCAUUAGACUUCUCUGCAGUAACAUUCAAU
This 4090-nucleotide long non-coding RNA is filed under the name Homo sapiens (human). RNAcentral's name for it is "HSALNT0085497". The record is from RNAcentral. Lineage: Eukaryota; Metazoa; Chordata; Mammalia; Primates; Hominidae.